This 497-nucleotide ribosomal RNA is filed under the name uncultured bacterium. RNAcentral's name for it is "partial 16S ribosomal RNA". It matches the Rfam family "Bacterial small subunit ribosomal RNA", at positions 28 to 507 of the family's 1533-position model. The record is from RNAcentral.
GAUGAACGCUGGCGGCGUGCCUAAUACAUGCAAGUCGAGCGAACAGACGAGGAGCUUGCUCCUCUGACGUUAGCGGCGGACGGGUGAGUAACACGUGGAUAACCUACCUAUAAGACUGGGAUAACUUCGGGAAACCGGAGCUAAUACCGGAUAAUAUAUUGAACCGCAUGGUUCAAUAGUGAAAGACGGUUUUGCUGUCACUUAUAGAUGGAUCCGCGCCGCAUUAGCUAGUUGGUAAGGUAACGGCUUACCAAGACGACGAUGCGUAGCCGACCUGAGAGGGUGAUCGGCCACACUGGAUCUGAGACACGGUCCAGACUCCUACGGGAGGCAGCAGUAGGGAAUCUUCCGCAAUGGGCGAAAGCCUGACGGAGCAACGCCGCGUGAGUGAUGAAGGUCUUCGGAUCGUAAAACUCUGUUAUUAGGGAAGAACAAAUGUGUAAGUAACUAUGCACGUCUUGACGGUACCUAAUCAGAAAGCCACGGCUAACUACGUG